UACGGGGGGGCAAGCGUUGUUCGGAAUUACUGGGCGUAAAGGGCGCGUAGGCGGCCUACUAAGUCGGACGUGAAAUCCCUCGGCUCAACCGAGGAACUGCGUCCGAUACUGGCAGGCUGGAAUCCGGGAGAGGGAUGUGGAAUUCCAGGUGUAGCGGUGAAAUGCGUAGAUAUCUGGAGGAACACCGGUGGCGAAGGCGGCAUCCUGGACCGGUAUUGACGCUGAGGCGCGAAAGCUAGGGGAGCAAACGGG
Molecule: ribosomal RNA, 252 nt
Filed under: uncultured bacterium
Lineage: Bacteria
Description: partial 16S ribosomal RNA
Rfam family: Bacterial small subunit ribosomal RNA
Source: RNAcentral